GGUUCUUCAUGUGGUAAUUGAUAGAUAGUGGAAUCUAGGGUCAGAACAUGGCAUAAUACGAAUAGAACCCUCCUGAGAAAGAGGGGCGACAGGUUUCAAGUGUCCUUAUUACAUCAACUGAAACUAGUAAGAUCCACUUCCCCCUCAAACCAUUCAAAACCUUGGUGAGGGCGACGGUUAACAUCAUAGUCACACACACGUUCCGGUAUAUGCGCUGCUUUCGGAACCUCUCGCUCCAAGUGAAGUUCUUGUGCUCGGGAGGUUCAUUGUCAAAAUAAGUAUCCAUCCUAUAAUGAAUGAAAUGACAUAUCAAGGUUUAAUUACGUAUCAGUUGAGGAUCUUCUGGAAUUGAAUGGGACGGUGAUAGAAUUUAGUGAAAACUUAUAGAAAUAAUCAUAACCUGCAAUUUUUAAAUAGACCACAUUAAAAACAUGAUAAAAUUUGACGAAUAAAUAUGUUAACCAGAUUAAAUCAUCAUAGACUUCAUGAACUAAAACAGAUGUAAGAGCAGGAGCUGGAAAAGUGACAAGUGGAAGGGAGGGAAUCGAAGAUGUAGUAAAUGACGACAUUGGUACCUGUUGCGUAGAUAUUGAAUAAG
RNAcentral lists this long non-coding RNA (598 nucleotides) under Zostera marina. Its description in RNAcentral is "long non-coding RNA (ZMAR_LNC002214)". The record is from RNAcentral. Lineage: Eukaryota; Viridiplantae; Streptophyta; Magnoliopsida; Alismatales; Zosteraceae.